Molecule: non-coding RNA, 124 nt
Organism: Triticum urartu
Lineage: Eukaryota; Viridiplantae; Streptophyta; Magnoliopsida; Poales; Poaceae
Source: Rfam
GUAGUACUCCCUUCGUCCGAAAAUACUUGUCCUUGAAAUGGUUGUAUCUAGACUUAUUUUAGUUAUAGAUACAUCCAUUUUAUCUAAUUCGAGGACAAGUAUUUCCGGACGAAGGGAGUACCAU